This 253-nucleotide ribosomal RNA is filed under the name uncultured bacterium. RNAcentral's name for it is "partial 16S ribosomal RNA". It matches the Rfam family "Bacterial small subunit ribosomal RNA", at positions 524 to 776 of the family's 1533-position model. The record is from RNAcentral.
GACAGAGGUGCCAAGCGUUAGGCGGAAUCACUGGGCUUAAAGCGUGUGUAGGCGGAUCGUUAAGUACCUUGUGAAAUCCCACGGCUCAACCGUGGAACUGCUGGGUAUACUGGCGAUCUUGAGCCACCUAGGGGCGAGCGGAACAAGCGGUGGAGCGGUGAAAUGCGUAGAUAUCGCUUGGAACGCCAAUGGUGAAAACAGCUCACUGGGGGUGUGCUGACGCUGAGACACGAAAGCCAGGGGAGCGAACGGG